This 446-nucleotide ribosomal RNA is filed under the name uncultured bacterium. Its description in RNAcentral is "partial 16S ribosomal RNA". It matches the Rfam family "Bacterial small subunit ribosomal RNA", at positions 338 to 795 of the family's 1533-position model. The record is from RNAcentral.
CCUACGGGUGGCAGCAGUCGAGAAUCAUUCACAAUGGGGGAAACCCUGAUGGUGCGACGCCGCGUGGGGGAAUGAAGGUCUUCGGAUUGUAAACUCCUGUCAUGUGGGAGCAAAUUAAAAAGAUAGUACCACAAGAGGAAGAGACGGCUAACUCUGUGCCAGCCGCCUCGGGAAUACAGAGGUCUCAAGCUUUGUUCGGAAUCACUGGGCGUAAAGCGUGCGUAGGCUGUUUCGUAAGUCGUGUGUGAAAGGCGCGGGCUCAACCCGCGCACGGCACAUGAUACUGCGAGACUAGAGUAAUGGAGGGGGAACCGGAAUUCUCGGUGUAGCAGUGAAAUGCGUAGAUAUCGAGAGGAACACUCGUGGCGAAGGCGGGUUCCUGGACAUUAACUGACGCUGAGGCACGAAGGCCAGGGGAGCGAAAGGGAUUAGAUACCCGAGUAGUC